RNA transcript from Aethalodelphis obliquidens (Pacific white-sided dolphin), 1920 nucleotides. It is a transcript of the gene named G-patch domain containing 11, with no coding region annotated. Lineage: Eukaryota; Metazoa; Chordata; Mammalia; Artiodactyla; Delphinidae. The record is from RefSeq and is a predicted model, not a curated record. The transcript is spliced from 11 exons.
ACUGGCCGCGGAAACUCAGGUGGGAGCGAAGGCCCAGAGGUCCCGCGCAGGUUGGUGAGCGUCUGCGCAGCGCUAGCUUUCGCGAGCUGGCCUGGGGAGAGUACAGCUGCCAGGAACUGGACCAGCAGCAUUGACAGCACCUGGGCGCCUGUUAGAAAUGCAGGACCUCAAGCUCCAGCUCAGAAUCAGACUCUGCAUUUUAAGAAGAUCCCAGGGCAAUUCAUAUACACAAUGGUUUUGCCAUAUGAAGCUGAAAAUGGCAGAAGAGGAGGACUAUAUGUCUGAUUCCUUCAUUAAUGUCCAAGAAGAUAUCAGACCAGGCUUGCCAAUGCUGAGGCAAAUCCGAGAAGCCCAUCGAAAAGAAGAAAAGCAACAGGAAGCUAAUUUGAAAAAUAAGCGGAAGAGUUUAAAGGAAGAAGAACAAGAGAGACGUGACAUUGGACUGAAGAAUGCACUAGGCUGUGAAAACAAAGGGUUUGCUUUGCUCCAGAAGAUGGGAUAUAAAAGUGGUCAGGCCCUCGGCAAAAGUGGAGACGGUAUUGUUGAACCAAUUCCUCUUAAUGUCAAAACAGGAAAAAGUGGCAUUGGUCAUGAGGCAUUACUAAAACGGAAAGCAGAGGAAAAAUUGGAAAGCUACAGAAGAAAGAUUCACAUGAAAAAAGAAGUUGAAGAAAGAGCUGCAGAACAGUUUCGAAUGCGACUUAAAAAUAAGCAAGAUGAAAUGAAGCUAGAAGGAGAUCUUAGAAGAAGCCAGAGAGCCUGUCAACAGUUGGAUACUCAGAAGAAUAUUCAGGUUCCCAGGGAGGCAUGGUACUGGUUGAGGCUUGAAGAGGAAACUGAAGAAGAGGAAGAGGAAGAAAAAGAACAAGAUGAAGAUGAAUAUAAGAGUGAAGACUUAAGUGUACUGGAAAAAUUACAAAUAUUGACUAGUUAUUUAAGAGAAGAACAUCUGUAUUGUAUUUGGUGUGGAACAGCCUAUGAAGAUAAAGAAGACCUGUCUUCAAAUUGCCCAGGACCAACUUCUGCAGAUCAUGACUAAGAUUAUUCUCAAUAAAGUAGAAGCUUGGCAAAUGUUAUUGUUUCCUAGACAGUUGAGCAGUUAGAAUUUCCAAAUUUUUGAUACCAGUAAAGAAAGAGGGCCUUUAUAUGUUUCAUUGUUUUUAUACAUUAGAAGUACUUUGUACUUUAGAAUAUAAUUGUUCACUGGCUUCAAAAACAUAAUGGAAAGCCAUUUCAGAACACAAGUAUUAUAGACAUGGGCAAUUACAAUUUAUGACUCUUUUGUGACGUUUAUGGAAUUUAAGGACACCAACUCUCUUACUCACUUUGGAACAAAUUGAGAAAUAAGACAUAGGAGUUAGAGAUCAAAAUAUCAGCUUUAUUAUCAAUGAAAUAAAGAGCUAGUUGACUUGUUCUCCAGUCAUGCUCCCUGCGAGAUCUCCCUGGUUAGAGAGAACUGCCGACCUUGCCUCGGAGGGACAGAGCCCAUCUUUGCAUUAGGAGACCAUUAGCUUUCAAGCCAACAAACCAACAUUCAUUUGGACAGACCCAACGCCAUGUGGAUAAUUUCAGACAGAAUGGAGUUAGGAACUGGCUUCCUUUUCUCCUCUUACUGACUGUAGGGCAACCUGCCCAGUGGCCUAGAGUAUUUUGAAUAUGUCUGUGAACAAAUAUGCUGUGAAUGUAGGAAUAACCUUGAUGGAACCCAUAAGUCCACCAGAGUUGUGGUCUGCAUUUCCAGGCCAGAGGCCAGAAAUUUACUUGUUGUCAUUUACUUUUGUUUAUAUUGUACUAUGUUUAUUUUCAGAGUCCUAUCUAGAAUUUCUAAAAUGUUUCAUUUUCCUACUUAUAAACCCAAAAUACUGGAGCUUUUAAAAUUCAAAAUAAAUAGACUUUAAUAUACUAAAUUGGUUUACCAUA